This 506-nucleotide ribosomal RNA is filed under the name uncultured bacterium. RNAcentral's name for it is "partial 16S ribosomal RNA". It matches the Rfam family "Bacterial small subunit ribosomal RNA", at positions 29 to 523 of the family's 1533-position model. The record is from RNAcentral.
AUUGAACGCUGGCGGCAGGCCUAACACAUGCAAGUCGAACGGCAGCACAGAAGAGCUUGCUCUUUGGGUGGCGAGUGGCGGACGGGUGAGUAAUGUCUGGGAAACUGCCCGAUGGAGGGGGAUAACUACUGGAAACGGUAGCUAAUACCGCAUAACGUCGCAAGACCAAAGUGGGGGACCUUCGGGCCUCACACCAUCGGAUGUGCCCAGAUGGGAUUAGCUAGUAGGUGGGGUAAUGGCUCACCUAGGCGACGAACCCUAGCUGGUCUGAGAGGAUGACCAGCCACACUGGAACGGAGACACGGUCCAGACUCCUACGGGAGGCAGCAGUGGGGAAUAUUGCACAAUGGGCGCAAGCCUGAUGCAGCCAGGCCGCGUGUAUGAAGAAGGCCUUCGGGUUGUAAAGUACUUUCAGCGGGGAGGAAGGCGGUGAGGUUAAUAACCUCGCCGAUUGACGUUACCCGCAGAAGAAGCACCGGCUAACUCCGUGCCAGCAGCCGCCGUAA